Long non-coding RNA from Nerophis ophidion (straightnose pipefish), 2217 nucleotides. RefSeq lists it as uncharacterized. The transcript is spliced from 2 exons. NCBI's taxonomy places the organism in Eukaryota, Metazoa, Chordata, Actinopteri, Syngnathiformes, Syngnathidae. The record is from RefSeq and is a predicted model, not a curated record.
GUGUGCGUGUGUUUGUGUGUGUGUGUGUGCGUGCGCACGUUUGGUUUCAAGGUGUGUCACCAUCUUGUGGUACAGUUUCAGUUGGAUGCUGACAAGAAAAAGUCCUCUCACAUUCCUACCUGCAUUUCUGUGUCACUGUGUGUGUGUGUGUGUGUGUGUGUGUGUGUGUGUGUGUGUGUGUGUGUGUGUGUGUGUGUGUGUGUGUGUGUGUGUUACUCACAUGACAUUAUACGCUCGCCGGGAAGGUGAAAAGAUGUUGUAAAAGUGCACGCUCAUGUUGUGUUGUUUUGAUUCAGAUCACAUGAUCUGACAAGACCGAGCUCGCGCGUCGUUCCAGAACGACAACUUUGCAGCCUUCUCCUUCCACUGAGAUCUGCCAUCAAAAACCUUCAGUGUGUUUUCAAAGAAGUUUAGAUUUGGGGAAUCAUUUUUGGAACUAGAUGAGGCAAUACCUGAAGUAAUUGCCUGUGAAUGCUCCAAUGCUGUAGCUGACAGACUGUCGUAUGAAUGUAAGAAUAGUUUGAAUGCGGAAGAGUUUGAAUUUCCAUGAAAAAUGGAAUUUGGUUUGGAGCGAGGGAAAGUGUUAGUUUGAAUCUCCAGGAUGAGUGGAAUGUGUUGUUGGAAAAAUGUGAGCGUGGUGGAAGUUUGAAAAAUGAGCAAUUCAUUUUGAAUGGAGAAAAUGUCCCUAAAAACUGGGACUUCUGGGAAAUUCCUAACAAGAUGGUGAUGGAUUCACUAGCUCUUUAUCAACAAGCCAAAACAACAACGGCAAGCUGAACUGUGCUGUAUGGGUUGCUCUACAAACACGUGCACACGCACAAAAGUCCCUCUUGUGCCCUAACAAACGAUCAGAAAUCACAAAAAUUCUUAGCUUUAACAACCAUAUCGCUACAAUAAUAAACAUUUAAAAAAAGAAAAAUCCGCUUACAGUACAUGAACGUCGGCGGAGAAGCAGACCGUGGGAGAAGGACAGUGUGUGUACAUACCAUACCAUCUUUAUUUAUAAAGCCCUUUAAAAACAAGCACAGUUAAAGAACAAAGGGCUGAACACCACAAAGAAAUACAGGCAAAGGACAGAUUAAAAAAAAAAAAUUAAAACAGAAUUAAGAAACACAUUGAAAUAGCAAAUACAAACUACCCUAAGAAUAAUUUGUUGGAUAAAAAGCAUUUAAAAACAGUUAAAAAAGUUAAAAACAUUUUAAAGUCAUUUCUUUUCUUGAAACGCGAGGUAGUAUUUUUUCCCCCCACUGUGAAAUAAGUCCGCAUUGGCAUCUGUCAGGUUCAAACGCUGAUGACAUCUAUUAAACAGACAAGAAGCAAGGAAUCAUGCAGAGACAGAGUUCAAUUUUGCUCAAUGAAGAGAGAUGUUUGGGCUGUACUCUAGUUAAAGAAACAACCUACGCUCUAAAAUCCUGCCCAAGUGCUCCUCUAUCUGGGAGGUCCCUGGUUACGUCACUGAGGCUGCCGCUGAAGGAAGGGGAGAGUAAUCUCAGCAGCCCCAGUUAGACACAAUAUUUGACUAUUCAUGAAAAGCAAAUGUGCUAACACUCGUGAUAUCGCCCUGUCUCUGCUCUGUCUGCGUCACAACACUCGAUGUUCUCCCUUGGCAGUCAGCAGGCCGGUUCUGGACACAGACACUGAUAGGAGACGACUCGCUUUGCACAGAUAGAAAAGUACAACUUCAGCACAGUUGAAAAUUCCGUUAUCACAACUAAAAACUUUCUAGAACUCUCCAAUACGAGCAAGCACAAAAUGGCUGCCAGUGGGACACAAAAUGGAUAAAUGAAGGUGAUAAGUUUGUAAACAAAAAAAGUUUGCUAGUAGAGAGAUUGGUAAAUUGAGGUUCCAAUACUCGCAAAUGAGACUGAGAAAUUUAAUUAGAAAUUAAAGCUGCAAGGAGCAAUGGACGGGACUGCUUUGGCUAAUGCCCCCGCGACCCAAGCCCAGAUAAGCGGUAGAAGAUGGAUGGAUGGAUGGAUGGAUUAUUACACAGAGAAAAAGUUGUAUACAUAUGUGUUAUACAUCAGUCUUGUAGUAAUAACAGUUGUAAAGUGGCUUGGGCAUUUUAUAAGGAUGCCUUGGUGCCGCUAUUUUGAGACUGUAAUACAUUGUGAAUGUAUUAGAGCAAACUUCCUGUACAUUUUAGCUGGAGGUUGUCAGUGUAUGAAAUAUAGGUCUCAGUGAGACCUACAUGGAGGUUUUUGUUUCAUGUGUGUA